CACUAUCGCUGGGCAUGGAAGUCUAGCCACUGGUGUAAUCAGGUGGGCCAGGGUUCAGAUUUCCUCAGGGUGUGAAAAUGCAAAGUGACCCGGGCCAGCAGGUGUCCUCUUUCAUCCAGCUGGGGUCACUGUCCCCUAAGAGGCCCCAAGCAGGCCCUUCUGGUCACAUGAAGCCUGUAAACCUCAAGCUCCCAGGGACCUGAAUGCAUUCCAAGAGGCCGACCCAGCAGCCCUGAAGCUCCAGCUGAGGGCCUGGCAGUCCCAGCCCUACGUUGCUGGGCAGAGGACACAGGCAUUUCCGAAGCAGCUUGGCCUCCUGCCAGUGGGUCUCCAGAUGCCAUGCAAGACACACCUGAACAGGGGUCCAGCCUGUUCACCACUUCCUGCUCAGCCAACGCAGCUGUUCUGCCGGCCCCGGGGCAGUCGCAGUAAGAGGCCCAUUUCCGGGGGUAGGAGCCAGCCACUCUCUGGGCACGACAGUCUGACUCUCUCCUCUCCCCCAAGGGGAGUCUCAUGAUUUGCAUCUUACGGACAGAAACUGAAGACACUCAACCCCAGUCACAGAAGCAUGGGUAAGUAAAGAGCAGCAGAGGAGGCACAACCCGGAGUGGCGGAUGGAGAGAGUCCUGAAGUGUCCCUGAGGACACGGGAGCAGUGUUCUCCGUGGGACACCCAGAAAUAUAGAUGCGUUUUCUGUGGCACAGGCGGAAGGAAGCACCCUGAGGGAGACAGCAUUAAAAACUACGGAAAAGAAGCAUAAAGCCACAGGCCAUGCACUUAUAAAUGGUUACAAUGGGAAACUUUGUUAGGUGCAUUGUAUCGCAAUUUUAAGUCUUCCUGAUAUAAGCAGAGCCAGGUGGGUCUACACGGUGAGAUCCAGGACAGGCAGGGUCUUAACUGGAUAUUUCUGACAUAAUAAGAUGGUUGAGGGGCAGUACGAGGAUUUCCCCAUUGUUUGGGGUCACCUGAAAGGCAAAAUGCUCCAAAUGCAGACUCAGCCACAAUGUGUUAAGUCUCUGAUUCAAGUCUACAGGCAAAAAUAAAAAGCAGGAGGGAGGUGGGUAGAAGAGAGAG
RNAcentral lists this long non-coding RNA (1074 nucleotides) under Meriones unguiculatus (Mongolian gerbil). RNAcentral describes it as "lncRNA (ENSMUGG00000016571.1)". Lineage: Eukaryota; Metazoa; Chordata; Mammalia; Rodentia; Muridae. The record is from RNAcentral.